This 449-nucleotide ribosomal RNA is filed under the name uncultured bacterium. RNAcentral's name for it is "partial 16S ribosomal RNA". It matches the Rfam family "Bacterial small subunit ribosomal RNA", at positions 29 to 523 of the family's 1533-position model. The record is from RNAcentral.
AGCGAACGCUGGCGGCAGGCCUAACACAUGCAAGUCGAACGAAAUCUUCGGACUUAGUGGCGGACGGGUGAGUAACACGUGGGAACGUGCCUUUAGGUUCGGAAUAACUCAGGGAAACUUGUGCUAAUACCGAAUGUGCCCUUCGGGGGAAAGAUUUAUCGCCUUUAGAGCGGCCCGCGUCUGAUUAGCUAGUUGGUGAGGUAAAGGCUCACCAAGGCGACGAUCAGUAGCUGGUCUGAGAGGAUGAUCAGCCACAUUGGGACUGAGACACGGCCCAAACUCCUACGGGAGGCAGCAGUGGGGAAUCUUGCGCAAUGGGCGAAAGCCUGACGCAGCCAUGCUGCGUGAAUGAUGAAGGUCUUAGGAUUGUAAAAUUCUUUCACCGGGGACGAUAAUGACGGUACCCGGAGAAGAAGCCCCGGCUAACUUCGUGCCAGCCGCCGCAGUAA